AAGCAGCUUGCUGCUUCGCUGACGAGUGGCGGACGGGUGAGUAAUGUCUGGGAAACUGCCUGAUGGAGGGGGAUAACUACUGGAAACGGUAGCUAAUACCGCAUAACGUCGCAAGACCAAAGAGGGGGACCUUCGGGCCUCUUGCCAUCGGAUGUGCCCAGAUGGGAUUAGCUAGUAGGUGGGGUAACGGCUCACCUAGGCGACGAUCCCUAGCUGGUCUGAGAGGAUGACCAGCCACACUGGAACUGA
This 249-nucleotide ribosomal RNA is filed under the name Escherichia coli. Its description in RNAcentral is "partial 16S ribosomal RNA". It matches the Rfam family "Bacterial small subunit ribosomal RNA", at positions 73 to 322 of the family's 1533-position model. Lineage: Bacteria; Pseudomonadati; Pseudomonadota; Gammaproteobacteria; Enterobacterales; Enterobacteriaceae. The record is from RNAcentral.